This 1245-nucleotide long non-coding RNA is filed under the name Oryctolagus cuniculus (rabbit). Its description in RNAcentral is "lncRNA (ENSOCUG00000036704.1)". Lineage: Eukaryota; Metazoa; Chordata; Mammalia; Lagomorpha; Leporidae. The record is from RNAcentral.
CUCCUCCUCGAUGGGGUCCGUGGCAACCUGGGGUCUCGUGGGUGUUUCCGUGCCGCACACUCAGUCCCGCUCCACAGCGCCUCCCAGUGGAGGAGGAGGGGAGGCACGGUGGGGCCUGUGGUUGGCCAGGGGUGGGGCCUGGGCUCCCCGGGGCUGUCCAGCUCCAGGCUACAGCAGGAAUGCAGCUCAAGGCGCUGGAGCCACCAGUGCUCGGGCUGCCCGGCAGGGGUGGGGUUGGGAGAGGAGAGGACGGCUCUGUGGAGUCAGGGUCGCCGCUCAGGACGUGGCUGGUGGAGGAGGCCCCUGCACACUUGUGGGCUCCACCUCGCCUGUGAGAGGAAGAGGCUGGGAGAGCCUAGCACAGCCUUUUCUCCACGUGAGUCCGACCUGGAAGCCAGUGGAAGCCGCAGAGCCCGCCACCUGCCCCGCACCCUGCACCCCGCACCCCGGCUCCUCCCGACCCUGUGGCUGGCGCGGAGCAGUUUGGGAGGGGUUCAAUCUCACCUUCAGGGGCUUCUCCAGUCCAGCUCAAAAGCUCCCUUGCCGCCUGCCCAGCAUGACGGAGGAGGCGUGCUGAAAAGGUUUGGGGUGUGUGGGCGGGGAGUGAUCAGAGAGGCCAACCCUGGACGCCGUGGGCAGCAGCCGUCAGUACAGGGAGUGGGACUGUGCGGAGAGGCAUGGUCACCAGCGGGGCCUGGGCCAGCCUGCAGGCACGAGUGGCUCUGUCCAGGGCUUCUGGCCUGCCCUGGGUUGCUGCACAUUGUCCCCGGGGGCGGUGCCGUGGCUCCAGCACCUGAGAGGGUGGACAGCGCCCCCUCAGGGAAGGUGGGCUGGGCACCUGCGAGGCCCGGUGUGCUCUCUGCCUCCUUUGGCCUCAUGAGCUGGGGAGCAUGGGCCAGACGCCGGAGGUGGGGACAAGCUGAGUCCUGGAGCCACGGGACCCGCCCAAGCUGCCUUCUCUCAGCCCGUCCUUCCCCCAGGAGGCCUUCUGGGCAGCCCCUUAGAAACCCGCGGCCGCACUUGUCGGGGCCUGCGCGGGCGGAGGUCGGCCCCCCUGCGCCCCAGGGCACCUGUUCCGGCUGCAGGCCACCGCUGAACCAGCUCCUCACGUCGAGUGCUCUAGGUCCAUGCCCGUGGACACACACACACACACACGUAGCACCCCUGCUGUAUACACACACACACACACACACACACGUAGCACCCCUGCUGUAUACACACACACACACACACACACACGCGUAG